GAUGAACGCUGGCGGUAUGCUUAACACAUGCAAGUCGAGCGGACUCUUCGGAGUUAGUGGCGGACGGGUGAGUAACGCGUGAGAAUCUGGCUUUGGGUUCGGGACAACCACUGGAAACGGUGGCUAAUACCGGAUGUGCCGAGAGGUAAAAGAGAAAUUGCCUGAAGAUGAGCUCGCGUCUGAUUAGCUAGUUGGUGAGGUAAAGGCUCACCAAGGCAGCGAUCAGUAGCUGGUCUGAGAGGAUGACCAGCCACACUGGGACUGAGACACGGCCCAGACUCCUACGGGAGGCGGCAGUGGGGAAUUUUCCGCAAUGGGCGAAAGCCUGACGGAGCAAUACCGCGUGAGGGAAGAAGGCUCUUGGGUUGUAAACCUCUUUUCUUAGGGAAGAACAAAAUGACGGUACCUAAGGAAUCAGCAUCGGCUAACUCCGUG
RNAcentral lists this ribosomal RNA (435 nucleotides) under uncultured bacterium. Its description in RNAcentral is "partial 16S ribosomal RNA". It matches the Rfam family "Bacterial small subunit ribosomal RNA", at positions 28 to 507 of the family's 1533-position model. The record is from RNAcentral.